Long non-coding RNA from Mastomys coucha (southern multimammate mouse), 1141 nucleotides. RefSeq lists it as uncharacterized. The record is from RefSeq and is a predicted model, not a curated record. The transcript is spliced from 5 exons. NCBI's taxonomy places the organism in Eukaryota, Metazoa, Chordata, Mammalia, Rodentia, Muridae.
UGAUUUCUUGCCUCUCCUGUACUGUUCACUGUCUCAGCUUACUUACAAGGAUACAUUUAUGACUUAACAAUGUAACUCCCAAUAGGCAAAUCAGAAUGACAUCUCCUUCUGUUCAUCUGCAUCCAUUUACUAAAUGGAUCCAGGAAGAUGACACCAAAACUGACCACUGGACCCUUAGCCUGAUUCCUGCAGAUCCUCUGCCUUGCUUUCAUUGGGGUUCCAAGCGUCUCUCCAGCCGCUCCUCAAGCUGAAUCCAUCAGCUCUGAUUUAUUCCAGCAAGUGCUUCAGUGAGAGCCAACAUGGCCUAGUCUAAAGACACCCCUUGCAUGUCCACAUCUGAGAUGAUAAAGUGAAGCUCAGGGUGAUGGGAGGAAUUUGCUUGCGGCGUGAUUCUGCAACAGAGUCCUGUUCCUGACAAUGCUGGAGUUUUUAAGGCUUUGCCUUUCCUCCUCCUUCAGUUACCAAGGUCUUGUAUUCUCUCAGUUAAUACUUUAAUUUGUCUUAUUUCCUCAUCCCUUUUCACCCAUCCUUCACUUUCCUAGGAACAUGUUGGACUAGUGUAUUGUUAAGCCCUCAAGACUCACAUCUGGUAUGGAAUCUUUCAAGGUUCAGUCUACCUGGAUAUGGUCCCUGUCAAGUCAGCCGGUGCUCUGUUCUGAGUGGAGAACAAAAGCAGAAGACAGCUAGAGUCACCAACACAUCAAUCAGUGCUACUCUCAUGCCUUAAUUUUGCUUUGGCAAACCCGUACUUUUUCCUAGCAUCUGGAUAUCAACGGCCAGGCACCUCAUUCUCUGAGAGCACCUGGCCCCUCUCUCUGUCUCUGUCCUUGGGCUCAAAGGCUGAGUAUGCUAUAUGUGUUUGGCCUGAGUUGCAUGUUCCUCCCAGUGUGAUAGUCUCCACCCUUGCCCUCUCACCCAGCAAGCAUCCUGUUUCAUUCUGCUGCUGCUCCAGACUGCAGAGUUCCCAGCAGGUGAUGGGCCAGACUCCGGACCAGUGACAGGAAUUACAUGGAAAGUAAAGGAAUGACCCAAGACUUGAUUUCAGAACUGCAUCCUCAGCAUGGUGCAAUCUACAUGUACUCAAGGGUAGAAGCCAACCUGGACUGAGAUAUCUCAAUAAAGAAGUGUUGGAGAAAAUGAA